This 82-nucleotide transfer RNA is filed under the name Blumeria graminis f. sp. tritici. It matches the Rfam family "tRNA". From Rfam's summary of the family: Transfer RNA (tRNA) molecules are approximately 80 nucleotides in length. Their secondary structure includes four short double-helical elements and three loops (D, anti-codon, and T loops). Further hydrogen bonds mediate the characteristic L-shaped molecular structure. tRNAs have two regions of fundamental functional importance: the anti-codon, which is responsible for specific mRNA codon recognition, and the 3' end, to which the tRNAs corresponding amino acid is attached (by aminoacyl-tRNA synthetases). tRNAs cope with the degeneracy of the genetic code in two manners: having more than one tRNA (with a specific anti-codon) for a particular amino acid; and 'wobble' base-pairing, i.e. permitting non-standard base-pairing at the 3rd anti-codon position. The record is from Rfam by way of RNAcentral. Lineage: Eukaryota; Fungi; Ascomycota; Leotiomycetes; Helotiales; Erysiphaceae. RNAcentral also lists the same sequence under 1 other name.
GUCGCAUUGGCGCAAUGGUAGCGCGCAAGACUUCUAUUAUGUCUAGAUCUUGAGGUUGUGGGUUCGAGCCCCACAUGCGAUG